GAUGAACGCUGGCGGCGUGCCUAAUACAUGCAAGUCGAGCGAACAGACGAGGAGCUUGCUCCUCUGACGUUAGCGGCGGACGGGUGAGUAACACGUGGAUAACCUACCUAUAAGACUGGGAUAACUUCGGGAAACCGGAGCUAAUACCGGAUAAUAUAUUGAACCGCAUGGUUCAAUAGUGAAAGACGGUUUUGCUGUCACUUAUAGAUGGAUCCGCGCCGCAUUAGCUAGUUGGUAAGGUAACGGCUUACCAAGGCAACGAUGCGUAGCCGACCUGAGAGGGUGAUCGGCCACACUGGAACUGAGACACGGUCCAGACUCCUACGGGAGGCAGCAGUAGGGAAUCGUCCGCAAUGGGCGAAAGCCUGACGGAGCACCGCCGCGUGAGUGAUGAAGGUCUUCGGAUCGUAAAACUCUGUUAUUAGGGAAGAACAAAUGUGUAAGUAACUAUGCACGUCUUGACGGUACCUAAUCAGAAAGCCACGGCUAACUACGUG
Molecule: ribosomal RNA, 497 nt
Filed under: uncultured bacterium
Lineage: Bacteria
Description: partial 16S ribosomal RNA
Rfam family: Bacterial small subunit ribosomal RNA
Source: RNAcentral